UGUCAGGGUGAUUGGUCGUGGGUUUUUGGUUAAUAACUGCCAGAGCUGUGAGUCGCUGUUUCUCCUCCGCUCAUUGUGCUUUCAAACAGGAAUUGAGUAAAUUAAAACACUCAGCGACUUAGAACUGUCAGGUUUCAGCACUUCUGCAGUGCACAGACACGGUUCCAUGAAAAAAGCCCCAAACUUCUGUCACACUGAUAUAAAGAUAGACGUGCUUGUGCAGCGACGCAAACCCGACAAUGACCUGGCAACGGAUUGGAAGAAGCACUCAAUUUGCUCUCAACCAGAGAGGAUAAAUGCAGAUUGAGGAAUAAUUUGGUGCCGUCGUUGGACUGGUGGCACAGCUGGGGUUGGCAGAAAGAGGAGUGACUCGACUUACAGCAGAACAGGAAUCAGCAGGCUGAUAACGAGGCCUCAGAGCUCCAGACCAGAAGAAACAACGUCUAAACAAGGAACAGGCAGAACUUGAGAGCCGGCGACUGACAAUUGGUUUCCUCUGCGAGUCAACAGUUCAGCCUCUGAUCCCUGGCGUCGAACCACAAGGAAAUCUGGAUGCUGCCUAAGGCGACCAGCGCACCAGGGCCAUUACGUUGGACUGCAAGGGACAGCAAUCAGGAUAUCAAAGCCAUUUUGAGCCUUAAAAUACAUCAGUGCUCCUAUUGAGGGUGCAUUGUUCAUCCCCAUCUCCAGUAUCCACUUGGCUUCUAUUCUUGGCGCUGUUGUAACUGGGAUUAUGGUGACAUGUUGCCUAUUGUGGCUCUUUUUUCAAGAAUACCUCCGUUCCCGCAGGACAGCAAUCUGUGAGUCAGUGCAAGGUGUCUUUACACGCGCUUUAGAGUUCAGCAGUUGUAGAGAAGCUUCUAUGGUUAGCCAGUAGCUAAAGGUAGAUGUCAGCCUGUUCAUUAAAACAAAUGACCCAGUAGGGCCCAGUGACCUAACCUCAGUCCUAUAGAGAAUGCCCAAAGUGGGCAGGAAAACAAUUAUUUUUAAUAGGAUAUGCCAUUUCUGAUAGGAAGAACUCAAAUAUCCAGUCAAAUUUAGUGCAGGACUUUGCUAAAAAAAGAAAAAAAAAGAAAACACGAGUUGUUUGAAGCUCCAUUGAGGCUUUUGUGAAUUGCAAUGUUUAUUUAUUUUUUUUAUAUGUGUUUUAAAUUAUAAUAUUCUAUUUCUACAUGUCAUGUUCUCAGUAGAUGUAAGUGAGAAAUCAU
This is a long non-coding RNA of Gambusia affinis (western mosquitofish), 1208 nucleotides long. RefSeq lists it as uncharacterized. NCBI's taxonomy places the organism in Eukaryota, Metazoa, Chordata, Actinopteri, Cyprinodontiformes, Poeciliidae. The record is from RefSeq and is a predicted model, not a curated record. The transcript is spliced from 3 exons.